This 777-nucleotide ribosomal RNA is filed under the name Staphylococcus hominis. Its description in RNAcentral is "bacterial SSU rRNA". It matches the Rfam family "Bacterial small subunit ribosomal RNA", at positions 68 to 829 of the family's 1533-position model. The record is from RNAcentral. Lineage: Bacteria; Bacillati; Bacillota; Bacilli; Caryophanales; Staphylococcaceae.
CAGACGAGGAGCUUGCUCCUUUGACGUUAGCGGCGGACGGGUGAGUAACACGUGGGUAACCUACCUAUAAGACUGGGAUAACUUCGGGAAACCGGAGCUAAUACCGGAUAAUAUUUCGAACCGCAUGGUUCGAUAGUGAAAGAUGGCUCUGCUAUCACUUAUAGAUGGACCUGCGCCGUAUUAGCUAGUUGGUAAGGUAACGGCUUACCAAGGCAACGAUACGUAGCCGACCUGAGAGGGUGAUCGGCCACACUGGAACUGAGACACGGUCCAGACUCCUACGGGAGGCAGCAGUAGGGAAUCUUCCGCAAUGGGCGAAAGCCUGACGGAGCAACGCCGCGUGAGUGAUGAAGGUCUUCGGAUCGUAAAACUCUGUUAUUAGGGAAGAACAAACGUGUAAGUAACUGUGCACGUCUUGACGGUACCUAAUCAGAAAGCCACGGCUAACUACGUGCCAGCAGCCGCGGUAAUACGUAGGUGGCAAGCGUUAUCCGGAAUUAUUGGGCGUAAAGCGCGCGUAGGCGGUUUUUUAAGUCUGAUGUGAAAGCCCACGGCUCAACCGUGGAGGGUCAUUGGAAACUGGAAAACUUGAGUGCAGAAGAGGAAAGUGGAAUUCCAUGUGUAGCGGUGAAAUGCGCAGAGAUAUGGAGGAACACCAGUGGCGAAGGCGACUUUCUGGUCUGUAACUGACGCUGAUGUGCGAAAGCGUGGGGAUCAAACAGGAUUAGAUACCCUGGGUAGUCCACGCCGUAAACGAUGAGUGCUAAGUGUUAGGGG